GAUGAACGCUGGCGGCGUGCCUAAUACAUGCAAGUCGAGCGAACAGAUGAGGAGCUUGCUCCUCUGACGUUAGCGGCGGACGGGUGAGUAACACGUGGAUAACCUACCUAUAAGACUGGGAUAACUUCGGGAAACCGGAGCUAAUACCGGAUAAUAUAUUGAACCGCAUGGUUCAAUAGUGAAAGACGGUUUUGCUGUCACUUAUAGAUGGAUCCGCGCCGCAUUAGCUAGUUGGUAAGGUAACGGCUUACCAAGGCAACGAUGCGUAGCCGACCUGAGAGGGUGAUCGGCCACACGGGAACGGAGACACGGUCCAGACUCCUACGGGAGGCAGCAGUAGGGAAUCUUCCGCAAAGGGCGAAAGCCUGACGGAGCAACGCCGCGUGAGUGAUGAAGGUCUUCGGAUCGUAAAACUCUGUUAUUAGGGAAGAACAAAUGUGUAAGUAACUAUGCACGUCUUGACGGUACCUAAUCAGAAAGCCACGGCUAACUACGUG
This 497-nucleotide ribosomal RNA is filed under the name uncultured bacterium. RNAcentral's name for it is "partial 16S ribosomal RNA". It matches the Rfam family "Bacterial small subunit ribosomal RNA", at positions 28 to 507 of the family's 1533-position model. The record is from RNAcentral.